RNAcentral lists this unclassified non-coding RNA (2091 nucleotides) under Hevea brasiliensis (rubber tree). The record is from RNAcentral. Lineage: Eukaryota; Viridiplantae; Streptophyta; Magnoliopsida; Malpighiales; Euphorbiaceae.
UUUAUGGGGCGGAAAGAGCACUACUUAUUAAUUCUAUACACUGAAGUCUCUGGCCAGCCUUUUUCAUUCAGGUCUUGAUUAAUCCUGCAGAUGUAGUUGAGGCCUACAAGAAGCUCUAUAAUUGCAGCCUCAGUUUUUGCUUGAUUUGCAUAAUGGAGUGUUUGCACCAGAAGCACAUUUGUCCUGGAAACCUCUUGCUCCCUCUCGAAAUUUCGCUCAGAGUGCCAUCUUAUCAUGUUAUGAGCCAGUGGAGACAACCAUUUCAAUAUGCUUCUGAGUUUGAGACUCCAUUUUGCUGCAAGGAAAGCAUCAUAUGCAGAUGGAGCUAGAGUUUUGUCAGAAGCCUUGAGCCUAGCUCUCAGAGCAGUUCUUAUGGUUGUGGGUAACAUAUUAUACAGGUCAUCUCUUGUUUCACAGUCAAUCAUGUGAGGUGAUGAAGCUAGCCUCUCAACCAAUACUAUCACAUUUGCAUAGUGGAAAGCUAAAGCAGCAUGACCAAGAGUAGAUGGAGGGGCAUUCAACAAUCCACACUUGGAACUGAAAAGGGCUAAUUUGGAAUAAAUUCUAUUGCUACAAGUAAGAGAUCCCGUAUUCAAGUUUUCCAUUUUGCCAACAUUUUUCAUAUAAUCAAAAGUGCCCUGCGGAAGAGGAGACUCUGUACCGCUUAUCACGCAUUCUUUAAAAGGUCCAACAUGAGCCAACCAGCUGUUUCUCAAGUGAUGGUGCUUUCCAUGUAGAGUGGAUGAUUGAUGAUGAAGUUGUAGCUGCUUGUUUAUUUUAUUCUUCUCAGCCACAAUUCCUGACUUUGAAUCUAACCUCCCCAGAGGUCCUGAAGAGAAUCUACAUAAAAUACCAUCUGAAGGAUGUAUUGAUGAGUGCAUAGCAGAAAAGGAACUGCUCCAAAGAACACAAUUAGGAUUCAUAUGUUUAUGUUCAUUGUUUCCCUCCUGAGAUAGCAAUUGGCUAUUCUCAAAAACAUGCUUGAUCCUCUGAAGUAUUGUUAGGAGUGAUCUUGCCAGAAGCCGGACAAUGUAAUCAUAAGUUCUAAUCCAUGGAGACAUCUCACGUAAAUUUCUCACUUCCUGACGAUGCCACAUUACCUUCUGCUGAUACUCAAGCAGUUUUUCUCGACUUAGAUUAGAAUUUGCCUGCAUUCUCUUAAGAGUUUGCUCAAGCUCUACAAGAACUUCAAGCUCUUGAGACAGUUGCCCAGUAACUGCAACAAACCUCUCCAUUUUUUUCACUUUCCUUUCCAUCUUCUUCAAUCUAUAAUCCCACCCAAACCAUUCAAGAUUGUUCUGAAGUGGGUUAUUAACAAAAUGUUCAAAACCGUGAAAAAGAGGAUCUAUGCAUUUCUUCCCGAGCCUGGCAACAGAUCUUGAUACGAGUCCAAAAUUCUCCAUUAUCUCAUUUAGUACAAGAUCCAUAACAUGAUUAUAAUCGUCAGCUACAAGCUUUCGAAUCCCAAUUGAAUUCACAAUCUCUUUCCUCAACUUAUAUAUCUCCCUAUCACUCAAAAAAUGCCAUAAAUAGACGACCUUGGACAUCAAACUUGCAACUUCAAAUGCUAAAACUCCAAUUGCUGCCUUGUCAGUUUCUGUUGCACCUUUCCAUGAAUUCCACCAUAAAUUACUCAACCCUGGCUCGGUCCCCAUAUAUCUUAUUCAAUCAAAGUGCAUAUGUGCUGCAGUGGAAAGUAGCGAACAAUGGACAAUUUGAGCUAAAGAAUAACAGAAAGUUUGAAAUGCGUAGGAUUUAAAUCGCUACCCCUCCAGGCAUCAUAUAGAAGAAGGCGAAAAGGGAUAGAAGACAGAAAGAGACAAAGACGAAAACGUAGAGAAAUGAAAUUCGGUAGACUCGAUGUUUAAGUUUUCGAAUAUGGCUUCACACUUCUGGGAUUAUGCGUUGCAGGACAUACGGUUAUUUUGUAUAAAAAAAUUUUGUUGCACUACAAGUAAAAGCGUUUGAUAAUUGUCUCGCUUUCUGUGGGAAACUUCUGUUUCCUGGGUAUCUGUGUUGACUUUGGAUCUUUCAAUGGCAUGAAAAUGAGUUGUGUAAUUGUGGAUUUAGUGGAAAGGAAUAGGGAAUUUG